This 1113-nucleotide ribosomal RNA is filed under the name Artemia franciscana. RNAcentral describes it as "partial 16S ribosomal RNA". The stretch from base 604 to 760 matches the Rfam family "Archaeal large subunit ribosomal RNA", at positions 1883 to 2090 of the family's 2987-position model. Lineage: Eukaryota; Metazoa; Arthropoda; Branchiopoda; Anostraca; Artemiidae. The record is from RNAcentral.
AUCUUUAUUUACAAAUUUAUUUAAAACAAUAUUAUAUUAGUAAAAGAAUCGAAUUUAUUCAAGGUCUAAGUACUGAAAAGGAAAGUCUACUAAUUACAAAGAAGUUAUUGUUUGUACCUUUUGUAUCAGGGUUUAUUCACAGAUUUCACUACUCUUAUUGCUCGAAUCCCGAAGUAAGGUGGAAUCUAUAUUUGGUUAUAGAUGGAAUUGUUUUCAUAAAAAUCCUCUUCAAGACCCAAAUAAUCGUUGUGAAAAAUAUUUCGUACCUUUUAUAUCUGGGUUGGCAGAAUACUCCUUUAGGGUACUCCGCCAGGAAAGAUUUUCUAGCGGGACGGAGCUCUAAGAGAAAAAUUAUAUUCAUACUCAUCUAUGAAAAAGACGAUGAACUAUGCUUAUCUAGUUGCACUUCGGGUCUUAGUGAGCCAAUUGAUUAGUAAGAAUUGCAUACUUUCACGCACUAAUUUACUUAACCGACUGGUCCGACCUGACGCUGCGAGUCUCUGUACGUAGAUUUAGCAAUGGAUCAAUGAUCAGAAUUAGUAGAACUAUAAAUGCACUUAACACAAUAUUCCUCACAAAAUCCCAAAGGAAUUCGGCAAAACUCAUCUCCGCCUGUUUAACAAAGACAUCGCCUCUUAACUUUGGGAGGUCGAGCCUGCCCACUGAUGAAUUAAAGGGCCGUGGUAUACUGACCAUGCGAAGGUAGCAUAAUCAUUAGCCUUUUGAUUUGAGGCUGGAAUGAAUGGUUUGACGAGAGAUGGUCUGUCUCUUCGAUUAAAUUGAAGUUAAUCUUUAAGUGAAAAAGCUUAAAUGUACUUGGAGGGCGAUAAGACCCUAUAGAUCUUUACAUUUAAUUCUUUUGUCUUGCGGUAGGUAAUUAGACAGAGUAAAACAAUGUUCGGUUGGGGCGACGGUAAGAACAGAAUAAACACUUACAACAUAAACACAUCAAUAAAUGACCAUUGAUCCUUAGAUGAAUAAAGACCAAGUUACCUUAGGGAUAACAGCGUAAUUCUUUUUGAGAGUUCAAAUCGACAAAAGAGUUUGCGACCUCGAUGUUGGUUCAGGGACCCUACUCGGUGCAGCAGCCUAGAGAGGCAGUACGUACGAGAC